This 1665-nucleotide long non-coding RNA is filed under the name Ricinus communis (castor bean). RNAcentral's name for it is "long non-coding RNA (RCOM_LNC003350)". Lineage: Eukaryota; Viridiplantae; Streptophyta; Magnoliopsida; Malpighiales; Euphorbiaceae. The record is from RNAcentral.
UUGGGUUAUUUUACUUGUUUUGUUUGCUAAUUAGAAAUAGAAAAUUUAUAAACUCUAAUUUGUGAAAAAUGGCAUGCGCUUGAAGGUUGGAGCUCGAAGAGUAUAAGGUUUGCGUCGGCACAAGUUAAGUUGAAGAACUGAUGAUUAGUUAGAAGCUAAUAUUUGAAAAGUUAAGUUAUUUAUUCUUUAGCUAAAUAUAACUUUUUAAUUUCCUUAUUAUGUUCACUAUCUCAAUUUCUAUUUCUAAGGUUAGUAGCUCUACCUCAUCUCUAAAUAAUUUCAUGAUAGUGUUAGUAGCUAAUCUUUAAUUUUAUUAAGUUGGAUGGUGGAGUCACUCCAAAAGUCAUGUUGGGUUUUUUUAAUAUUUUUAUUUUAAUAACUUUUUUUGUUUGAUGUUUGAAUUGAAUUGUUUGAAAUAUAGUGUGAUGAUUGUUAAUUAGAAAUAGAAAAUUUAUAAACUCUAAGUUGUGAAGGUUGGAGCUCGAAGAACAUAAAGUUUGCGUCGGCACAAGUUAAGUUGAAAAACUUAUGAUCAGUUAGAAGCUGAUACUUGAAAGGUUAAGUUCUUUAUUCUUUAGCUAAAUAUGAUUUUUCAAUUUUCUUAUUUUGUUUACUAUUUCAAUAUCUAUUUCUAAGGUUAGUACCUCUACCUCGUCUUUAAAUAAUUCCAUGUUAGGCUUAGUAGCUAAUUUUUAAUUUUAUUAAGUUGCAUUGUGGUGUUUGAUGUUUGAAUGACUUCUUUUGUUUGAUGUUUGAAUUGAAUUUUUGUAAUAUAGUGUGAUGAUUGUUAAUUAGAAAUAGAAAAUUUAUAAACUCUAAUUUGUUAAAAUGUUAUGUGCUUGAAGGUUGGAGCUCGAAGAGCAUAAGGUUUGCGUCGGCAUAAGUUAAGUUGAAAAACUUAUGAUCAGUUAGAAGCUGAUACUUGAAAGGUUAAGUUCUUUAUUCUUUAGAUAAAUAUGACUUUUUAAUUUCCUUAUUUUGUUUACUAUUUCAUGAUAGGGUUAGUAGCUAAUUUUUAAUUUUAUUAAGUUGCAUGGUGGUGUUCUUUCAAAAGUUACGUUGAGUUAUUUUACUUCUUUUCUUUGCUAAUUAGAAAUAGAAAAUUUAUAAACUCUAAUUUUUUAAAAAUGGCAUGCGCUUGAAGGUUGGAGCUCCAAGAAUAUAAUGUUUGCGUCGGCAUAAGUUAAGUUGAAAAAGUUAUGAUCAGUUAGAAGCUGAUACUCUAAAGGUUAAAUUCUUUAUUCUUUAGCUAAAUAUGACUUUUUAAUUUUCUUAUUUUAUUUACUAUUUCAAUAUCUAUUUCUAAGGUUAGUACCUCUACCUCGUCUUUAAAUAAUUCGGACAAAAUAAGAUGAUAAGGAUAAACAAAGUGAUGGACAAGAAUCUUUUUCUUUUUGAAAAAUGGACAAAACAAGAAGACAAAGUAAGAUGAUAAAGAUGGACAAAGUGGCGGAUAAGAAUCUUUUUCUUUUUGACAAAGUAGCUUAAUUAUUUAUCUUUGUUGUCUUUUGUAAUAAUAUCACGGACUCAAGUUUGUUUGAAGUCCGAAUAGUAUCCUACUCCUUACUAUAAAUAGAUGUAAAUUAGUUGAGGGAAGACACGCUUGAACUAUUUUCCCUACUAGCUUUGUAAAAUUCUCUCUUUAAUAAAACUUUAUAUUACUUA